This 253-nucleotide ribosomal RNA is filed under the name uncultured bacterium. RNAcentral's name for it is "partial 16S ribosomal RNA". It matches the Rfam family "Bacterial small subunit ribosomal RNA", at positions 524 to 776 of the family's 1533-position model. The record is from RNAcentral.
UACGUAGGGGGCAAGCGUUGUCCGGAAUCAUUGGGCGUAAAGCGCGUGUAGGCGGCUCUGUGAGUCCGUUCUGAAAGUCCGGGGCUCAACCCCGGGAGGCGGAUGGAUACUGCAGAGCUCGAGUCCGGAAGAGGCGAGUGGAAUUCCUGGUGUAGCGGUGAAAUGCGCAGAUAUCAGGAGGAACACCGAUGGCGAAGGCAGCUCGCUGGGACGGUACUGACGCUGAGACGCGAAAGCGUGGGGAGCAAACAGG